This 194-nucleotide ribosomal RNA is filed under the name uncultured bacterium. RNAcentral describes it as "partial 16S ribosomal RNA". It matches the Rfam family "Bacterial small subunit ribosomal RNA", at positions 338 to 525 of the family's 1533-position model. The record is from RNAcentral.
CCUACGGGAGGCAGCAGUGAGGAAUAUUGGACAAUGGGCGAAAGCCUGAUCCAGCAAUGCCGCGUGAGUGAAGAAGGCCUUCGGGUUGUAAAGCUCUUUUGUCAGGGAAGAAACAGCAGCUCUAACACAGUCUGCGAAUGACGGUACCUGAAGAAUAAGCACCGGCUAACUACGUGCCAGCAGCCGCGGUAAUA